RNAcentral lists this ribosomal RNA (198 nucleotides) under uncultured bacterium. Its description in RNAcentral is "partial 16S ribosomal RNA". It matches the Rfam family "Bacterial small subunit ribosomal RNA", at positions 328 to 539 of the family's 1533-position model. The record is from RNAcentral.
ACGCUCGACACCUACGGGAGACAGCAGUGGGGAAUAUUGCACAAUGGGGGAAACCCUGAUGCAGCGACGCCGCGUGGAGGAAGAAGGUCUUCGGAUUGUAAACUCCUGUUGUUGGGGAAAAAGAGGAUGGUACCCAACAAGGAAGUGACGGCUAACUACGUGCAGCAGCCGCGGUAAUCUGAGGCGGGCUGGCAAGGC